Molecule: non-coding RNA, 72 nt
Organism: Colletotrichum orbiculare MAFF 240422
Lineage: Eukaryota; Fungi; Ascomycota; Sordariomycetes; Glomerellales; Glomerellaceae
Source: Rfam
GGCCUGCUGGCGCAACGGUAGCGCGUUCGACUCCAGAUCGAAAGGUUACCCGUUCAAAUCGGGUGCGGGUCA